AGAGUUUGAUCAUGGCUCAGAGUAACGCUGGCGGCGUGCUUAACACAUGCAAGUCGAACGAGACGGCUUGUCAGCUGUGGCGCACGGGUGAGUAAUAUAUAGGUAACAUGCCUCUUACUAAGGGAUAACAGAUGGAAACGUCUGCUAAUACCUUAUACCUUUAAUACUGAAGUAUGCAAGGGAAAGAUUUAUUGGUAGGAGAUUGGCCUGUACGGUAUCAGUUAGUUGGUGAGGUAAUGGCUCACCAAGACGAUGACACCUAACUGGUUUGAGAGGAUGAUCAGUCACACUGGAACUGAGACACGGUCCAGACUCCUACGGGAGGCAGCAGUGGGGAAUAUUGCACAAUGGACGAAAGUCUGAUGCAGCAACGCCGCGUGGAGGCACUUCGGCGACUCCUUUUAUAGGUCUAAAGCCUAUGAAUAAGCGCCGGCAACUCCGUGCCAGCAGCCGCGGUAAUACGGAGGGCGCAAGCGUUACUCGGAAUCACUGGGCGUAAAGAGCGUGUAGGCGGAUUAAUAAGUCAGAAGUGAAAUCCAAUAGCUUAACUAUUGAACUGCUUUUGAAACUGUUGAUCUAGAGUGUGGGAGAGGUAGAUGGAAUUUCUGGUGUAGGGGUAAAAUCCGUAGAUAUCAGAAGGAAUACCGAUUGCGAAGGCGAUCUACUGGAACUAACUGACGCUGAGACGCGAAAGCGUGGGGAGCAAACAGGAUUAGAUACCCUGGUAGUCCACGCCCUAAACGAUGUACACUAGUUGUUGCCUUGCUAGACAAGGCAGUAAUGCACCUAACGGAUUAAGUGUACCGCCUGGGGAGUACGGUCGCAAGAUUAAAACUCAAAGGAAUAGACGGGGACCCGCACAAGCGGUGGAGCAUGUGGUUUAAUUCGACGAUACGCGAAGAACCUUACCUGGCCACAUACUAAAAAGCUUUAAGAGAUUAGAGUGCUUGUUGUAGGUGCUGCACGGCUGUCGUCAGCUCGUGUCGUGAGAUGUUGGGUUAAGUCCCGCAACGAGCGCAACCCUCGUGUUUAGUUGCCAUCAGGUAGGCUGGGGACUCUAAUGAGACUGCCAUCGUAAGUGUGAGGAAGGUGGGGAUGACGUCAAAUCAGCACGGCCCUUACGUCCGGGGCGACACACGUGUUACAAUGGGUGGUACAAAGGGCAGCUACCUGGCGACAGGAUGCUAUCUCGAAAACCGCUCUCAGUUCGGAUCGGAGUCUGCAACUCGACUCCGUGAAGCUGGAUUCGCUAGUAAUCGCGCAUCAGCCACGGCGCGGUGAAUACGUUCCCGGGCCUGUACACACCCCCGUC
RNAcentral lists this ribosomal RNA (1312 nucleotides) under uncultured Campylobacterota bacterium. RNAcentral's name for it is "bacterial SSU rRNA". It matches the Rfam family "Bacterial small subunit ribosomal RNA". Lineage: Bacteria; Pseudomonadati; Campylobacterota. The record is from RNAcentral.